AUGUAUGUAUGUAUGUAUGUAUGUAUUAUGUAUUAUGUAUGUAUGUAUCCAUGUAUGCAUCCUCCCCAUCUUGCGGAUCCACAUAAGGCGUCCCAUCUUCGGCCUCGGCUGCAGCUGCCGGCAUCAUUGCCUCGGUUGCGGCGGCUGCUUGCCUCAUGCCUCAAGCCUAUGGUGUUGCUGCUCACCUGCUCCACACCGGGUCACGAUGGAUCUAGUGUCCUUGAUCGGUUGGUAGCGGGCGUGGCUGUGUUGCUCGUUGGCCCAUGGAGGCGUGGGUGUGGCAUGGUGUGUACGUGUGGAGAAUGA
RNAcentral lists this ribosomal RNA (306 nucleotides) under Triticum aestivum (bread wheat). Its description in RNAcentral is "partial small subunit ribosomal RNA". The record is from RNAcentral. Lineage: Eukaryota; Viridiplantae; Streptophyta; Magnoliopsida; Poales; Poaceae.